Molecule: long non-coding RNA, 393 nt
Filed under: Bos taurus (domestic cattle)
Lineage: Eukaryota; Metazoa; Chordata; Mammalia; Artiodactyla; Bovidae
Description: long non-coding RNA NONBTAT016558
Source: RNAcentral
UGAAUGAAGCAUACUCUGAAAGGCAUGAGAACAGGGAAAUGCAGAAGUUUCCUAUCUGAGAGUACAGGGGGAAUUAGGAUGAAAUUGCUUAUGUCAGAGCCAUCAGUAGUCUUUAAUUAUGAAUCUCAGAGAAGCAAAACAUCUCAGGUAUUCUUCAGGACUUAGAAUACUAAAAUUUUUAAAAAUAGAUACACUUCAAGUUUUAAAAGAUCAGAAAAAAAAAAUUUUUUUUCUGAUUUCCAUUACUUGUAAAACUAUAUUCUCAGGGACUAUCAUUUGGAAAAGUAAUCAUCUUUUCCUAUUGCUUAAGUUUAAACUAAGUCCCUGUGGUUUUGCAUUAAAUUUCAAUUAUUUAAAUAAACAACAGACUCAUUUCUCUCCUCGUGAAUGUAA